This 793-nucleotide ribosomal RNA is filed under the name uncultured Methanosaeta sp. Its description in RNAcentral is "bacterial SSU rRNA". It matches the Rfam family "Archaeal small subunit ribosomal RNA", at positions 85 to 879 of the family's 1478-position model. The record is from RNAcentral. Lineage: Archaea; Methanobacteriati; Methanobacteriota; Methanomicrobia; Methanotrichales; Methanotrichaceae.
ACUGCUCAGUAACACGUGGACAACCUGCCCUUAGGUUGGGUAUAAACCCGGGAAACUGGGUAUAAUACCCGAUAGGUCUCGAUUGCUGGAAUGCAUCGAGAUCUAAAGCUCCGGCGCCUAAGGAUGGGUCUGCGGCCUAUCAGGUAGUAGUGGGUGUAGCGUACCUACUAGCCUACGACGGGUACGGGUUGUGAGAGCAAGAGCCCGGAGAUGGAUUCUGAGACACGAAUCCAGGCCCUACGGGGUGCAGCAGGCGCGAAAACUUUACAAUGCUGGCAACAGCGAUAAGGGAACCUCGAGUGCCAGGUUACAAAUCUGGCUGUCGAGAUGCCUAAAAAGCAUUUCAUAGCAAGGGCCGGGCAAGACCGGUGCCAGCCGCCGCGGUAACACCGGCGGCUCGAGUGGUAACCGUUAUUAUUGGGUCUAAAGGGUCUGUAGCCGGCCGGAUAAGUCUCUUGAGAAAUCUGGCAGCUUAACUGUCAGGCUUUCAGGAGAUACUGUCUGGCUCGAGGCCGGGAGAGGUGAGAGGUACUUCAGGGGUAGGGGUGAAAUCUUGUAAUCCUUGAAGGACCACCAGUGGCGAAGGCGUCUCACCAGAACGGACCUGACGGCAAGGGACGAAAGCUAGGGGCACGAACCGGAUUAGAUACCCGGGUAGUCCUAGCCGUAAACGAUACUCGCUAGGUGUCGGCCACGGUGCGACCGUUGUCGGUGCCGUAGGGAAGCCGUGAAGCGAGCCACCUGGGAAGUACGGCCGCAAGGCUGAAACUUAAAGGAAUUGGCGGGGGAGCAC